GGAACAGGAACCCUAUGCAGCGAAACCUACGGCUGCGCGCAGGGGUAAACUGGACUGGGCGCGGCGAGCUGAAAACUGGGAGCGGUGCCCAUGGCGAGCAGCAGGAGGGCGGCCGAGCUGGAGCCGACACAGAGGCUGGGGACUGGGCGCCGAACACGCUGCAGCAGGGAGCUCGGCAGGGCGGCGGCCUGAAGAACGGGCAGAGGGAUGAGCGCAGGGGGAGAGCCAAGGGCUGCUCGCGCCCAAAGGCCGACGGCCAUGGAUCCAGAGCACCCUGCGACCACCAUGGGAGACGAGCAGAAGACUCGCGCGAGCUGGAAGAGGAAGGGAGGGCGCGCGUCAGGGAGAUGGAGCGCCAGGAACAGACGCGCCAUGCCUGGGAGCUUGGAGAGGGAGACGGCCAGGGAGCUGUGAACCGAAGGAAGGAAAUCCGGGCACGCGACGGAAUUCAGCCGGGCGCCAUGAGAGCCGUGCGCACGUGGGAGAUCCGGCGAGCUGCAGGUUCUCUAUCGACCGCAUCGUGGCUAUGUCCUGCGGUGCCACAGGCUUCGCCGCGAGGCCCCCGCUCACCGUCGGGAACACAGCCGAGCACCAGGGAGGCCAUGGAAUGGGCGCCGUCAAGGCCUGAGCAAGGAUGUCAGCAUCAGGGUUUACCUUACCGGUAAUAAAAAAAAACCGGACCUCACCGAGAAACGUGUUUUUCGGAAUUCUCGAUUUUUUUCGUUUUUCUCAAAAAAAUUUCGGACAAAAUUUAGACAAAAAAAGUUCAAUUUAAUCAUAAAAAUGUAGAUUAUUUGUAGGUAAUGGCUAAAAGAAUCAUAUGGUAGCGUUUUGGACCUCUUCUUUGUAGCCUAAAUACAUAACAGUAGGUUUGGACGAAUUGAAUUCAAAAUCG
Molecule: unclassified non-coding RNA, 895 nt
Filed under: Zea mays
Lineage: Eukaryota; Viridiplantae; Streptophyta; Magnoliopsida; Poales; Poaceae
Description: misc RNA Zm00001eb425370
Source: RNAcentral